RNAcentral lists this ribosomal RNA (580 nucleotides) under Stagonosporopsis sp. Its description in RNAcentral is "partial large subunit ribosomal RNA". It matches the Rfam family "Eukaryotic large subunit ribosomal RNA", at positions 121 to 717 of the family's 3401-position model. The record is from RNAcentral. Lineage: Eukaryota; Fungi; Ascomycota; Dothideomycetes; Pleosporales; Didymellaceae.
UCUGGCGUCUUCGGCGUCCGAGUUGUAAUUUGCAGAGGGCGCUUUGGCAUUGGCAGCGGUCCAAGUUCCUUGGAACAGGACGUCACAGAGGGUGAGAAUCCCGUACGUGGUCGCUAGCCUUUACCGUGUAAAGCCCCUUCGACGAGUCGAGUUGUUUGGGAAUGCAGCUCUAAAUGGGAGGUAAAUUUCUUCUAAAGCUAAAUACUGGCCAGAGACCGAUAGCGCACAAGUAGAGUGAUCGAAAGAUGAAAAGCACUUUGGAAAGAGAGUUAAAAAGCACGUGAAAUUGUUGAAAGGGAAGCGCUUGCAGCCAGACUUGCCUGUAGUUGCUCAUCCGGGUUUCUACCCGGUGCACUCUUCUAUAGGCAGGCCAGCAUCAGUUUGGGCGGUUGGAUAAAGGUCUCUGUCAUGUACCUCCUUUCGGGGAGAUCUUAUAGGGGAGACGACAUGCAACCAGCCUGGACUGAGGUCCGCGCAUCUGCUAGGAUGCUGGCGUAAUGGCUGUAAGCGGCCCGUCUUGAAACACGGACCAAGGAGUCUAACAUCUAUGCGAGUGUUUGGGUGUCAAGCCCGAACGCGU